This 492-nucleotide ribosomal RNA is filed under the name uncultured bacterium. RNAcentral describes it as "partial 16S ribosomal RNA". It matches the Rfam family "Bacterial small subunit ribosomal RNA", at positions 29 to 507 of the family's 1533-position model. The record is from RNAcentral.
AGUGAACGCUGGCGGUAGGCCUAACACAUGCAAGUCGAACGGCAGCACAGUAAGAGCUUGCUCUUACGGGUGGCGAGUGGCGGACGGGUGAGGAAUACAUCGGAAUCUACUUUUUCGUGGGGGAUAACGUAGGGAAACUUACGCUAAUACCGCAUACGACCUACGGGUGAAAGCAGGGGAUCUUCGGACCUUACGCGAUUGAAUGAGCCGAUGUCGGAUUAGCUAGUUGGCGGGGUAAAGGCCCACCAAGGCGGCGAUCCGUAGCUGGUCUGAGAGGAUGAUCAGCCACACUGGAACUGAGACACGGUCCAGACUCCUACGGGAGGCAGCAGUGGGGAAUAUUGGACAAUGGGCGCAAGCCUGAUCCAGCCAUACCGCGUGGGUGAAGAAGGCCUUCGGGUUGUAAAGCCCUUUUGUUGGGAAAGAAAAGCAGCAGGUUAAUACCCCGCUGUUCUGACGGUACCCAAAGAAUAAGCACCGGCUAACUUCGUG